CAGCAGUAGCCGCGGUAACACCAGCACCCCGAGUGGUCAGGAGGUUUAUUGGGCCUAAAGCAUCCGUAGCCGGUUGCAUAAGUCUUCGGUUAAAUCUAUGCGCUUAACGUAUAGGCCGCCGAAAAUACUGUGCAGCUAGGGAGUGGGAGAGGUACACGGUACUCGAUAGGAAGGGGUAAAAUCCUUUGAUCUAUUGAUGACCACCUGUGGCGAAGGCGGUGUACCAGAACACGUUCGACGGUGAGGGAUGAAAGCUGGGGGAGCAAACCGGAUUAGAUACCCCCGUAGUCCCUGUCUCUUAUAC
This 304-nucleotide ribosomal RNA is filed under the name uncultured bacterium. Its description in RNAcentral is "partial 16S ribosomal RNA". It matches the Rfam family "Archaeal small subunit ribosomal RNA", at positions 456 to 760 of the family's 1478-position model. The record is from RNAcentral.